ACUGUAGGGACUUUUCAAAGACCUGAAAUCAAUGAACAAAAUCAGUCAAUCAAUUGUCAAUGCAGUUUCCAGCAUUGUCUAAUCAGUAGCAAGAGAAGGUUACAAGUUAAACUCCCUGUCCACAGCAGAGAUAGAUAGAUAUACUAUACACAUAGACAGAGAUAGAAUGUAACGCCCUCACAGUAGGUAGUCCGUACAUUCUACUGUUCCAGCGACUAAUGUCUUUUCGGACA
This 233-nucleotide unclassified non-coding RNA is filed under the name Hevea brasiliensis (rubber tree). The record is from RNAcentral. Lineage: Eukaryota; Viridiplantae; Streptophyta; Magnoliopsida; Malpighiales; Euphorbiaceae.